Molecule: long non-coding RNA, 421 nt
Filed under: Dasypus novemcinctus (nine-banded armadillo)
Lineage: Eukaryota; Metazoa; Chordata; Mammalia; Cingulata; Dasypodidae
Description: lncRNA (ENSDNOG00000052777.1)
Source: RNAcentral
GCCCUGUGAGGAUACCCACUGCAUCUUAUUCCGUCAACAUUUCCUGAGAACUUAACCUGGACCAAGCACUAGGGAUGCAACGAUUAAAGGAAGGGUCCUUACCCUUCAGGAGCUCACAGUCCAGUGGGGAAGACAGACUUAAGUAAUUACAGGCGAGUGUAAUAAACGCUUUGUAGAACACGCCGUACGCGUUGCUAAAGGCGGGCAGUGAAGAGCAGCUGCCCCUGGGACUCAUCUGGAUUUGUGCUCAACGGCUUAAGGGCAGAGAAGGAAAGAGACCUGCCUUUCUCAUGUGAACACUGGAUAAUUUUCAAGAGCCAGGUGAGCAGAGAGUGCUGCUGCUAGUGGAGAUGACCUGAAAAUAUGCCAGGUAAGGCUGAAUUCUACACUUAGAACUCCAUUGACUGCCAGAAAACCUUGC